GACGAACGCUGGCGGCGUGCUUAACACAUGCAAGUCGAACGGAAAGGCCCUGCUUUUGUGGGGUGCUCGAGUGGCGAACGGGUGAGUAACACGUGAGUAACCUGCCCUUGACUUUGGGAUAACUUCAGGAAACUGGGGCUAAUACCGGAUAGGAGCUCCUGCUGCAUGGUGGGGGUUGGAAAGUUUCGGCGGUUGGGGAUGGACUCGCGGCUUAUCAGCUUGUUGGUGGGGUAGUGGCUUACCAAGGCUUUGACGGGUAGCCGGCCUGAGAGGGUGACCGGCCACAUUGGGACUGAGAUACGGCCCAGACUCCUACGGGAGGCAGCAGUGGGGAAUAUUGCACAAUGGGCGGAAGCCUGAUGCAGCAACGCCGCGUGCGGGAUGACGGCCUUCGGGUUGUAAACCGCUUUCGCCUGUGACGAAGCGUGAGUGACGGUAAUGGGUAAAGAAGCACCGGCUAACUACGUGCCAGCAGCCGCGGUGAUACGUAGGGUGCGAGCGUUGUCCGGAUUUAUUGGGCGUAAAGGGCUCGUAGGUGGUUGAUCGCGUCGGAAGUGUAAUCUUGGGGCUUAACCCUGAGCGUGCUUUCGAUACGGGUUGACUUGAGGAAGGUAGGGGAGAAUGGAAUUCCUGGUGGAGCGGUGGAAUGCGCAGAUAUCAGGAGGAACACCAGUGGCGAAGGCGGUUCUCUGGGCCUUUCCUGACGCUGAGGAGCGAAAGCGUGGGGAGCGAACAGGCUUAGAUACCCUGGUAGUCCACGCUGUAAACGGUGGGUACUAGGUGUGGGGUCCAUUCCACGGGUUCCGUGCCGUAGCUAACGCUUUAAGUACCCCGCCUGGGGAGUACGGCCGCAAGGCUAAAACUCAAAGGAAUUGACGGGGCCCCGCACAAGCGGCGGAGCAUGCGGAUUAAUUCGAUGCAACGCGUAGAACCUUACCUGGGUUUGACAUGGAUCGGGAGUGCUCAGAGAUGGGUGUGCCUCUUUUGGGGUCGGUUCACAGGUGGUGCAUGGCUGUCGUCAGCUCGUGUCGUGAGAUGUUGGGUUAAGUCCCGCAACGAGCGCAACCCUUGUUCACUGUCGCCAGCACGUUAUGGUGGGGACUCAGUGGAGACCGCCGGGGUCAACUCGGAGGAAGGUGGGGAUGACGUCAAGUCAUCAUGCCCCUUAUGUCCAGGGCUUCACGCAUGCUACAAUGGCUGGUACAGAGAGUGGCGAGCCUGUGAGGGUGAGCGAAUCUCGGAAAGCCGGUCUCAGUUCGGAUUGGGGUCUGCAACUCGACCUCAUGAAGUCGGAGUCGCUAGUAAUCGCAGAUCAGCAACGCUGCGGUGAAUACGUUCCCGGG
This 1343-nucleotide ribosomal RNA is filed under the name uncultured bacterium. Its description in RNAcentral is "16S ribosomal RNA". It matches the Rfam family "Bacterial small subunit ribosomal RNA", at positions 28 to 1378 of the family's 1533-position model. The record is from RNAcentral.